ACAAACAUUAUAUUUACUUUAGCGUCCAUCCGAAUGGUGCUGAACGUAUGUACAUGAACUUUAACAAGUCAGUUUAGCAUUAAAAUUUCAACACUCGAGAGAAAGGACUACCUCUCGAUCGUCAAUUUUUCUCCGUAAAAUUUUUGUGAUGAUGGAUUUAAUACAAGUGAUAGUGGGAAGAGAACUUUUCUACGUAAGUCCGAAGGACCUGAUGGAAGCAUCGUUCGCGUCGCCGUGGGCUAAGGCUAUGAUCAAGUAUGAAGGGAGCAGUGGAAAGUUCAAUCUUCCAGAAACGGACCCCAACAUGUUCAAAAUUUUUUUGAAGAUUUUAAGCGACAAACAGCCACCGGAAAUUUCUGCAAGUAUGGAAGAAAUGAUGAGUGUUCUUCUCCAAGCGCAUAUGUGGGAUUUUUCAGAUGUUGUCAAGAAAUGCUGCCAGUUUUUUUCUGCAAAAGUCCAAGACCACUACAAUUUCAUUUUCAACAACACUGCAACGUUGGAUCUUAAAAAUGAUUUGGACGAUGAUGCAUUCUUCCUGCUCAAGUGUUUUAUUGUGGCAGGAAUAUUCGGAAGGAGUUUGAAUGCAAUAACUAUUUGGAAUGGAACUCGCUUACGUGGAUGAGAAUUCUAAUGGAUGAUUAUCUAAAUCUGGAAGAGAUUGUGAUUUUUAAGGCCCUUCAAAGUUGGAAAAAUUUUAAAGAUGUAUCAAUGUGGGAGGUCCGUCGUUUAGUUGCGUUUGUUAGAUUUCCACUAAUCUCAAAAGAAGAUUUCGAGAAAUAUGUUGCAAUCAGUGGAAUUUUGGACGAUUUGCAGGUGGAAAAUUUGAGAAACUAUUAUUUGGAGCGCAACAUAGAUUCUGGUUUCAAUUGCACUCCUAGAAAAUUUAAACUCGGGAUACAUAAUGGAGUAGAAUUCUAAACAUAAAUUUGUGUAUUGUGUAUUAAACAUUUUAACAUGUUAUAACUUUAUUAGAAUGUUAAUUAUUUAUUGUACCUAUUUUAUUACUACUAGUAAUAAAUAAAUUCGCUCGGA
Folsomia candida is the source of this 1032-nucleotide RNA transcript. RefSeq lists it as uncharacterized. The record is from RefSeq and is a predicted model, not a curated record. Lineage: Eukaryota; Metazoa; Arthropoda; Collembola; Entomobryomorpha; Isotomidae. The transcript has 5 exons.